AAAGAUUUCUACGAAGAAGGGACAACCCCAUUCUCUUAAGCCGAGACUGCUGGGUUCUUUGAAGUCUGAGGACCCAUACUUGCGUUCAUCUCCUUUUCCCUACGAGAGGAAGGACAUGGCCCGAGGAAGAUUAGGAAUUCUGGUUUCGAGGUCCGACACUCCGACCUGUGGCAAUCGAUUAGCUACUAGCGCAGUCAAGUGAUCGACUUCGUUUGGUACAGCAGGAUCAGAUAGGACUCAGAAGGAACGCAAGCAACAAUACCCAACAAUAGCUAUCGGAGACGAAUCAAAAACUCAGGAACCGCUACCGAAAACCGGAAUCACAAUGAAAUCCGACGUCACCCAAAAACACAAUUUUGAGUUUACAGAACCCGAUUACAUAUCAAAAACUUCAUUCGAGCAUAUCAACAACUUCACAACCAUUAUCAUGACAAAGUUUCAAGUCUACAUAACCCGAUUACAUAUCAAAUCCAAACACUUGAGCCAGCACGAAAGAGCCCCCGGCUAUUCCAAUUUCCAAACAUGGCCGCUCACUCCCUCUCCAAGCUUCCAGCUUUCGUCUCUGCCUUGAAUCCCAAUCAAACAACCAAACCCGAAUCGUGUUCUCUACCUCUGACCACGACUUUGAAGCCCACAAGUCUACAGAAUCUAUGGCUCGGAACCAACAGUACGUCUCGGAGUCAGAGCCCAACUGCCAAAGCUCCGACCUUUCUCUUCCACAAUCUGCCUCAGCCUCCCGACCGCAUGCUUCUGAUUUUAUCAUUACAGAAUCAAGGAGAGAGUUUCGUCCAAUGAGGAAGUGCCCAAAUGGUCUAGCAGGGCUAUAAAGUCAUUUGCCAUGGGGGAAUUGGAAGCCAGGAAGCUCAAGUACCCAACCACUGGGGAAGGCUGCUUGUGCAGUUGUUUCCUGGCUUCUACCUUAUGCAUAAAGGCUUAGGUUUUAAAUUUAGUCCAAGACUUCCAAGUUAUGAUCCAAAACAAAUGGAACCACUUUGGCUUCAAAAUUUUUGCGGGCAAAUGGACUUACAGUGUUCAAGGUGCGUGAAGAAACCAUCAAGUUACUUGGGAAAGCUGAUAUGUACUUUUUCAGUCCUGAGCAUCCUGCAUUGACUGACGAAGCUCAAAGAGUGCUCGACUGGGCCGUUGAUAAGAAAAUAAAAUCUGGUGGUAGUGGCGAAAUUACAACAUCUCAUCUGCUUCUUGGCAUUUGGUAUGAAGUGGAUUCACCGGGUCACAAGAUAAUGGCCUCCCUUGGCUUCAAUGAAGAGAAAGUGAAAGAGCUGGAGUCUUUAAUUUCUGAUGGAUGAUAUUUUCCCUUCUUCUUUUUUUUUCUGUUCACUGACCUAUGGUGCAAAUUUCUUUACCAAUGCAUGGAUCAAUGAUGUUGGUAGGAGUUUUUUAAUGGCAUUUGUCGUUCCUGAAUGUUUGUUUGAAUCUGAUUCUGAACUGGUCCUAGGUUCAUUCAAUACAAGAAAUGUUUUCUUGUGUUUAA
This is an RNA transcript of Rosa chinensis, 1492 nucleotides long. It is a transcript of the gene named ATP-dependent Clp protease ATP-binding subunit CLPT2, chloroplastic, with no coding region annotated. NCBI's taxonomy places the organism in Eukaryota, Viridiplantae, Streptophyta, Magnoliopsida, Rosales, Rosaceae. The transcript has 5 exons. The record is from RefSeq and is a predicted model, not a curated record.